GCUCUCGAGAUUCGGAGGACGGUGCCUCUUCGAUUUUGGAGCAAGCAAUCUUGUUGGGAAUGUUUUCUCGAAUGUGAGUAAAGGUUGGGCAUGUUUGCUAGUCUACCUUGCCACGGAGCACAGAGGUUGAUACACAGAGACUUUCCAAUUAUCCAGCAGUGGUGCUGUUCCUUUACCCUUGUGGGUAAUAAUAUGGUAGCUAGACCUUCAAAUUUUAUGUGGCUAAACUUUGUUAGUGCUGUUUCUUUGCUAUUCUUUUACCCUUCUUGGUCAUAGCGAUGUAGUGGGAGCUGCAAGCUUCACGUGUUUAAACUUUGUCAGAAAUCUUUAGCAAAGUUAUCUGUGGUACCCAUGAGCUGAUGGUGCGUGUGGAAAGUGGAUGAUUGAACAGUAAGAUUCACGUGCUUUCUACUUCACUAGAAAUCUUCAACAGAAUGCCCGUAAUUUCAGCAAAGCUGAGUGUGCAUGUGAUAGGUGCUGACAAGGCUGAAAAAAGCAGGUGCCUCUUCGAUUUCUGCGAUCGGCCCUCAUGGUCUCUAAGCGGCCCAGCUUUUGAGAAAGCAAGCACCUCUUCGAUUUCUGAGAUCGACCUUCGUGGUCUUUGAGCAGCCCAGCUUUUGAGAAAGCAAACGCCUCUUCGAUUUCUAAGAUCGGCCCUCGUGGUCUCUGAGCAGCCCAGCUUUUGAGAAAGCAAACGCCUUUCGAUUUCUAGGCAGGCGCCUCUUCGAUUUCUGAAGCUCCGUCGAGUGCAGAUUUUUAUAGAGGUUGGCACUAAGUUCCAAAGCACACUUAAAUCUUCACCAGUAGAAGCUCCAUUCUUGCACUUCUAAGAUCUUGAUUUGUCCGACCUCUUCUGUCUUCAACACCUUUGAAAAUGUCUGGCCCCUCCGACCGUCGUUUUGACUUGAACCUUGUUGAAGAGGCAGUCACGCCUUCUCCAGACAACAUAUGGCGCCCAUCCUUCUUAUCCCCUAUUGGUCGUCUUACCGUUGGGGAUUCCGUGAUGAAGAAUGAUAUGACUGCUGCGGUGGUGGCCAGGAACCUUCUCACUCUCAAAGAUAACAGACUACUUUCCAAACGGUCUGAUGAGUUGGCUGUUAGGGAUUCUCUGGCUCUAAGUGUUCAGUGUGCAGGUUCUGUGUCUAAUAUGGCCCAACGCCUAUUUGCUCGAACCCGCCAAGUUGAAUCAUUGGCGGCUAAAGUGAUGAGUCUUAAACAGUAGAUUAGAAGGCUCAUGCAUGAGAAUAAACAGUUGCACCGGCUCGCACAUGACUAUCUACAAACAUGAAGAGGAAGCUUGACCAGAUGAAGGAAUCUGAUGGUCAGGUUUUACUUGAUCAUCAGCGGUUUGUGGGUUUAUUCCAAAGGCAUUUAUUGCGUUCGUCUUCUAGGGCUGUACCACGUAAUGAAGCUCCAAAUGAUCAACCUUCGAUGUCUUCUCCUUUUAGGGUUCUGUCCAGUACUGAGGCUCCGAAUGAUCCCUCUCCGGUGCCUCCUCUUUCUGGGGCUUUACCGACUGCUGAGACUUCUCCUAAGCAACCUUUGUGAAGGCUCCCUCUUGUUUGUUUAUUUUGACUCAUGUAUAUGUACAUAUUUGUAACUUAUCGGAGAUAUCAGUAAAUAAGCUUUGCUUCAUUUCAACGUAUUGUGUUAAAUACACCAAAGCCUUCUUCACUGAGUGGGGUCGGCUAUAUGAAUCUUAGAACGCUAUUGUGCUCGGUCCUGUGUCAUGUCCUCCGUUAGAUCCAAAUACUCUAAGUCUUUUCUUAGAGUCUCUUCCAAAGUUUUCCUAGGUCUUCCUCUACCCCUUCGGCCCUGAACCUCUGUCCCGUAGUCGCAUCUUCUAACCGGAGCGUCAGUAGGCCUUCUUUGCACAUGUCCAAACCACCGUAACCGAUUUUCUCUCAGCUUUCCUACAAUUUCGGCUACUCGUACUUUACCUCGGAUAUCCUCAUUCCUAAUCUUAUCCUUUCUCGUGUGCCCACACAUCCAACGAAGCAUCCUCAUCUCCGCUACACCCAUUUUGUGUACGUGUUGAUGCUUCACCGCCCAACAUUCUGUGCCAUACAGCAUCGCCGGCCUUAUUGCCGUCCUAUAAAAUUUUCCCUUGAGCUUCAGUGGCAUACGGCGGUCACACAACACGCCGGAUCCACUCUUCCACUUCAUCCAUCCAGCUUGUAUUCUAUGGUUGAGAUCUCUAUCUAAUUCUCCGUUCUUUUUCAAGAUAGAUCCUAAGUAGCGAAAACGAUCGAUCUUUGGUAUUUCCUGAUCUCCGAUCCUAACCUCUAACUCAUUUUGGCCUCCAUUUGCACUGAACUUGUACUCCAUAUAUUCUGUCUUUAAUCGGCUUAGGCGAAGACCUUUAGAUUCCAACACUUCUCUCCAAAGGUUAAGCUUCGCAUUUACCCCUUCCCAAGUUUCAUCUAUCAACACUAUAUCGUCUGCGAAAAGCAUACACCAAGGAAUAUCAUCUUGAAUAUGUCCUGUUAACUCAUCCAUUACCAACCCAAAAAGGUAAGGACUUAAGGAUUGUUGAUGCACAAAAUCAGUGAGGACUUUGGUACAACAGAAAGUAUUAAGUUUGUGAUCUUCGCUAGAUUGCUCUGGUCAUUAGUGUGGAUAAGUAUGUAAAUGGAUAGAGACAGGAAAGCAAACACAAGAUGUACGUGGUUCACCCAGAUUGGCUACGUCCACGGAGUAGAGGAGUUCUCAUUAAUUGUGAAGGGUUUACACAAGUACAUAGGUUCAAGCUUUCCUUUAGUGAGUACAAUUGAAUGAUUUAGUACAAAUGACAUUAGGAAAUAUUGUGGGAGAAUGAUCUCGUAAUCACGAAACUUCUAAGUACCGAAGUGUGGUAUCGUCUUCACUUGCCUUAUCUGUCUCAUAGGUAGAUGUGGCAUCUUCUCUGGAAGUACUCUUCCUCCAUCCAGGGGUGGUAUCUUUAAUUGGUGGAGAUGCACAAGGUAAUGUAUCAAUUUCACUUGAAGCUUACUUGUAGUUUCAGGCUUGGUCAAGCGCGAUACAAACCAUGCAGUAGGAGUCCCCCAAGUCGCCGAGCUAGGGGAUAUGCUGAAAGAGGUGACAGACAAGGUAAGCAAUCAGAGCUCCAAGCAAUCAGUCCCAGAUCAGAAGUUUGAUUUCGAGUUCCGGCUGAUUGUUCUCAUUCUCCCUAUCUUGCAAGGCAGCAUGAAGGAUAAAGAGAAGAAAAUGAGAAGAGAUGAUAUGAGAUACUUUUGCUUUUGAAGAAGUAACUUUCCACAGGCUUAUUCUUGAACUGGGCUGGAGGGUUUUCUGGUUUCCUCCAGAGUAUAAGGCCGACUGAAGAAUUUGAGGUCAAAACAAGUCCAUCAAAUCUAGAGUACGUUCGACCCUGCUGAUAUGGGAUACUUUUGCUGUUGACAAAGUAGUGGAUGUAUCGGCACGUGUUCUGUUACGCUUGUCUCCACAUGCUUCCUUGUAUCCUUCUCACUUUCCCUAUCUGUUCCUCAGGCAGAUGUGGUAUCUUCUCUGGAAGCAUAAGAUGUUGAAGAUGAGUACUCGAGAGCAAUGCCAGUUAAGUAAUCAGGUAAGGGGUUCCAAGCAGUCAGUUCCUGACUGGAAGCUUGAUUCCAAGUGCUGACUGAUUGCUCUCUUUCUCCUUGUCUUGCAGGUAAGAACAAGGCCAAAGGAAAAGACAGGGAAAAAGCAUGAUAUGGGAUACUCUUGCUUUUAACCCUGAUGAUAUGAGAUAUUCUUGCUCUGGUAUAGCUUGUUUGCAGAGGUAUUAUCGGGGGGAAAGAAAGCUGAGUAUUUCGAGAGGCUUCGUUGGAAGUGCCCUCUCAGAUAUGAAGAAGGGUUGAGCAUUUUUGCAGGUCUACCUGUCCGUUGAGGAUGGAGGUCGACAUAUAUAGGAGUCUCCCUAACAACAAGUAGUAAUGCUAUUCCUUUACCCUGCUUGGUCAUAGCACGGUAGUAGGAGCUGCCAGCUUCACGUGUGUCAAAGCACUUUGAAAAAGUGGUCUGUUGUAUCUGGAAAGCUGAUGUUGCGUGUGAAGAUUACAGACAAGCUUUAUCCAAGGAGAUCUGGCUCACGAAUUUGAGAAAGCGGUACCUCUUUGAUUUUCGAACAAGCAAUCCUGUCGGGGAUCUGGCUCUCGAGAUUCGGAGAACGGUGCCUCUUCGAUUUUUUAGAGAAGCAAUCCUGCUGGGAGUCUGGCUCUCGAGAUUCGGAGAGCGGUGUCUCUUCGAUUUUUUGAGAAAGUAAUCAUGUUGGGAGUCUGGCUCUCGAGAUUCGGAGGACGGUGCCUCUUCGAUUUUGGAGCAAGCAAUCUUGUUGGGAGUGUUUUCUCGAAUGUGAGCAAAGGUUGGGCAUGUUUGCUAGUCUACCUUGCCAUGGAGCACAGAGGUUGACAUACAUAGACUUUCCAAUUAUCCAGCAGUGGUACUGUUCCUUUACCCUUGUGGGUAAUAAUAUGGUAGCU
This 4460-nucleotide long non-coding RNA is filed under the name Malus domestica (apple). RNAcentral's name for it is "long non-coding RNA (MDOM_LNC017984)". The record is from RNAcentral. Lineage: Eukaryota; Viridiplantae; Streptophyta; Magnoliopsida; Rosales; Rosaceae.